Theobroma cacao (cacao) is the source of this 857-nucleotide long non-coding RNA. RefSeq lists it as uncharacterized. NCBI's taxonomy places the organism in Eukaryota, Viridiplantae, Streptophyta, Magnoliopsida, Malvales, Malvaceae. The record is from RefSeq and is a predicted model, not a curated record.
GGUGUUGAUCUUGUGUGUAAAAUGACGAACAUUUCAAAUCUUUACCGUUUAUGCCAACCGUUCAUGUUGCAAACAUUUAAGUGCUCUUUCCCAAAACACUUCAGAUCUUGCCUCCGCUCCUCUACCUCCAGCUCAAUCCGUUUAACCCAGUGGAACUCCAACUAAAAAACUUCCUUUAGUGGAACUCUUGUGGGUAUCCUUGAAAAAUUAUUGCCAAAACACAUAGUUAUAGACCAAACGCCAAAAGGAGCAAAGCUUAGAAUUGCCUCACGGACUCAUCAACCUAACUCCCUCUGUUCAAAAUUGUUGAAUUGGUGUCCGAAGGACAGGUGGGGUCAGCAAAGAGUAGUAGGAAGGGCUGGGAUGAGCAACCAGAGAAAGGUUAGGGGAACAAAAGGAGAAAGGUUCUUCUAGGAGUAAGCCUGAUCUGCAAGUUAUUUUGCAAACUUAGAUCCAAGACUACAUCCAUGUUAUGGACUUAGCAGAUGGUCAUAUUGCUGCACUUAGGAAGCUUUUUACUACACAGAAUAUAGGUUGCGUUGCCUAUAAUCUUGGAAUCAGCUAUGGUACAUCUGUGCAUGAAAUGGUUACUGCUUUUGAGAAAGUUUCUAGAAAGGAAAUGUGUAAUUCUACAUUAUCACAGAAGUAUGGUGAAGAUUCAUUCUCUCAACUAGAAUUCGAUCUACAUGCUUAAAAUCUUAAAAUCUUUUCUUUUAUUGGACUUUGAUAUCCUUUUAGUAUGGCAUCCAAUAGCACAUUUAGUUUUAUGAUUAUAUUUGUUUGACAUUUUUAGAUAUUGUGUAUUUAUGAGGAUUUCUAAUUGCAUGAACUUGAAUUCAAAUUUUAGAUUUUAAAGC